This 512-nucleotide ribosomal RNA is filed under the name uncultured bacterium. Its description in RNAcentral is "bacterial SSU rRNA". It matches the Rfam family "Bacterial small subunit ribosomal RNA", at positions 32 to 518 of the family's 1533-position model. The record is from RNAcentral.
AAUCAACGCUGGCGGCGUGCCUCAGACAUGCAAGUCGAACGCGAAAGCCCCCUUCGGGGGGCAAGUAGAGUGGCGCACGGGUGAGUAACACGUAGGUUAUCUACCUUUGGAUGGGGAAUAACAACCGGAAACGGUUGCUAAUACCGCAUAAUGCAGCGGCACCUAAUGGUGACAGUUGUUAAAGCGGGGGAUCGCAAGACCUCGCGUCUGAAGAGGAGCCUGCGGCAGAUUAGCUAGUUGGUAAGGUAACGGCUUACCAAGGCGAUGAUCUGUAGCCGGCCUGAGAGGGCGGUCGGCCACACUGACACUGACAUACGGGUCAGACUCCUACGGGAGGCAGCAGUCGGGAAUUUUGGGCAAUGGGCGAAAGCCUGACCCAGCAACGCCGCGUGAAGGAUGAAAUCCCUCGGGAUGUAAACUUCGCAAGAACGGGAAGAAUAAGUAAGAGCUAAUAACUUUUACGAUGACGGUACUGUUUGUAAGCUCCGGCUAACUCCGUGCCAGCAGCCGAC